CCUACGGGUGGCAGCAGUGGGGAAUAUUGGUCAAUGGGCGAGAGCCUGAACCAGCCAAGUAGCGUGCAGGACGACGGCCCUAUGGGUUGUAAACUGCUUUUUAAGGGGAAUAAAGAGGGGCACGCGUGCCCUGUUGCAUGUACCCUUGGAAUAAGGACCGGCUAAUUCCGUGCCAGCAGCCGCGGUAAUACGGAAGGUCCAGGUGUUAUCCGGAUUUAUUGGGUUUAAAGGGAGCGUAGGCCGCAGGUUAAGUGUGUUGUGAAAAGCAGUCGCCCAACGUCUGUCUUGCAGCGCAAACUGUCCUGCUUGAGUGCGCACAACGCAGGCGGAAUUCGUCGUGUAGCGGUGAAAUGCUUAGAUAUGACGAAGAACUCCGAUUGCGAAGGCAGCUUGCGGGAGCGCAACUGACGCUGAAGCUCGAAAGUGCGGGUAUCGAACAGGAUUAGAUACCCUUGUAGUC
This 460-nucleotide ribosomal RNA is filed under the name uncultured Prevotella sp. RNAcentral describes it as "bacterial SSU rRNA". It matches the Rfam family "Bacterial small subunit ribosomal RNA", at positions 338 to 795 of the family's 1533-position model. Lineage: Bacteria; Pseudomonadati; Bacteroidota; Bacteroidia; Bacteroidales; Prevotellaceae. The record is from RNAcentral.